AUAGCGUAUAUUAAAGUUGUUGCGGUUAAAAAGCUCGUAGUUGGAUCUCAGGCCUAGUGCCGACGGUUCCACGGUUGUGGACUACUGUCGGCCUGGUCAUUUUGGUUCAGCCGUGCUGGGCGGCCUUUAACCGGGUCCACCAGCCGCUGAACAUGUUUACUUUGAAUAAAUUAGAGUGCUCAAAGCAGGCGCUUGUUGCCUGAAUAAUCUUGCAUGGAAUAAUGGAAUAGGACCUCGGUUCUGUUCUGUUGGUCUUCGGAAGCCGAGGUAAUGAUUAAGAGGGACAGACGGGGGCAUUCGUAUUGCGACGCUAGAGGUGAAAUUCUUGGACCGUCGCACGACGAACUACUG
RNAcentral lists this ribosomal RNA (351 nucleotides) under Benoinyssus aff. serratus AD1053. Its description in RNAcentral is "bacterial SSU rRNA". It matches the Rfam family "Eukaryotic small subunit ribosomal RNA", at positions 594 to 945 of the family's 1831-position model. Lineage: Eukaryota; Metazoa; Arthropoda; Arachnida; Trombidiformes; Eupodidae. The record is from RNAcentral.